Molecule: microRNA, 23 nt
Filed under: Capra hircus (goat)
Lineage: Eukaryota; Metazoa; Chordata; Mammalia; Artiodactyla; Bovidae
Also listed under: 1 other name
Description: chi-miR-216b
Gene: chi-miR-216b
Source: miRBase by way of RNAcentral
AAAUCUCUGCAGGCAAAUGUGAU